Molecule: long non-coding RNA, 1704 nt
Organism: Oreochromis aureus
Lineage: Eukaryota; Metazoa; Chordata; Actinopteri; Cichliformes; Cichlidae
Source: Ensembl
UAUACAUCACUGGAUUCCAGUAGCUAGUCGAAUGAGCUUCCUGUGGUAAGACAGUACACUACAUAAAAACAGCUGACAUUUUUUUCCCAGCACACUGCAAGAUCAAAAACCAGUAUUGCUACCUUUAUGAUAACAAUACAAGUGUCAUAGGUCAUCAUGGCCUUGUUGGGCAUAGGUGAAAUGGCCCAACCCUAUUCCUGCUGUCCAUUGUUUCGCAGUUGUUGUUUUUAUCAAACAGUCUGACUGUGGAAAGAUUUAGUAUGUAAUACUCAGCCUGUAUAACAAAUGUUAGUACCAUAAAAGAAAGACUGGGUGACAGUAAAUUUCCACUCGUACUCUGAGUUAAAGAUAAUGUAAUGCACCAUAAUCUUCUUGAUGCAUGCUCAAUCAUCCAGGUAAGUAAAUCUCCGAAAGUUGAUUCUGUUCAUCUGGACAUAGUGUUUUCAGUGGGAGAAACGUUUUGUCACUCAUCUCAUCCCAGUUCCUUCAUCGUAGAAUAGAAUAGAAUAAACCUUUAUUAUCCCACGGUUGAAAAAUGUCGGUGUUACAGAGCUCUUACAGCAAGGGAAAAUAAAAUAUAAAAGGAAGACACAAGGUGUCCUAUAGACAUAAGCAACCGAAGUUUGUAUAUACAGGUAUAUACAGGCAACAAUGUACAGAAUAUGUAUAGAAAAAUUGAAAAAAAUGUAUGGAGAUAUGUAUAAAAUGCACAGGGUUAUGUAUAAAAUCUACAGAGCUAUGUAUAAAAUGUACAGUAAACAAACAAGCUGGUGAGUAAGAUGACCAAAAGAAUGUUAAGCUGCAUUAUAGACUCAUUAAUUAUGCAAAUUCUCAUGACCAUUGAUCAACAACCACUGAUCAAAGCCCACUGGUCAAUGGCCAUGAGUACCAUUCACAGAGAGUUGGGGAAUGGCUGCAAUCACAGCAUUGUAUGAUGGCGAAAGAUGUACCCUUAGGCCCCCUCCUCGAUUCAGAGAUGGUCUUUCCCUUUUCACGUAAAUUGACUCCGCGCUCAAACCAACGUUCCUCCCUGUCCAGGAUGUGUACAUCCUCAUCAUUGAAAAAGUGUCCACAGGACUGCAGAGUCCUGGCCUGACGAGGUAGCUCUUCUGUGUUGUGUCAUCCGCUUCGCCAGAGGUUGUUUGAUUUACCCAAUGAAUAAGUCCUGGCAAUCCUCCUGGCACUUAACAGUGUACACUAUAUGUUUGUAAGUUUAUAAGACUGGGGAAACAUGCAGUCAGCUGAGAUUGAAGAAGUCACUUGGAUGAGUGAUGAAAUGUUUCUCCCACUGAAAACGCUAAGUCCAGAUGAACAGAAUCAACUUUUGGAGAAUGCACCAUAAUGCAGCAAUGUCAAUGUCAACAUUUAUUUUUCUCACAAGGUCUGUACAGGAUGCUUGUACAUUUGAAAGAAAGCUUCAGUCAUAUUAUUCUUUUUGAAAAUACAAGAACACAAGUGAAAUAUGAAUGUGUAAGAUAAUUUUUAUUUAUGUGUAAUUUAUUACGAUUGGUGAUUCGAUAUCAUUGAAUUGGACGGAUCUUAUUCCCUCUCAACAUUAUGUGGAAACAGUAUUGUGUGUAGAGAUGGCACGAUACCACUUUUUUAUGUCCGAUACCGAUAUCAUAAAUUUGGAUAUCUGCCGAUACCGAUAUGAAUCCGAUAUAGUGUGUUUUUUAAUGAAUAAAACUGUUUUUUAAUAUCUUG